GUAUGUUGGAUUAUCUGUUGAUUCUUCGUCACCUUCCUUUAGAACGCGACCUUCUUGGUUUUUAUUUUAUUUUGUUAUUCAAGCAGGGUCUUAUGAUUGCAGACUAGCCUCCUAUUCCAUAGAGCUGAGGAUGAUCUUGAACUUCUGGUCCUCUUGCCCCCACCUUCUAACCACUGCAAGUACAAGCCUGGGAUAGUGCACUCAUUAAUGCUGACGUGUGGGGAUCAAAUUCUGGACUUACUGCAUGCUAGAAACAUCCUUAGCCCCUAGAAUGAGAACUUGUUCCUCCAGGGGAGAGCACAAAUGCAGUCCCCCACCACCACAAAUUAUGCAGUUUCCCGCAUUUGGGGAAACUGAAGGUCGGCACGUCUGGAGUGCAAUGGAUAAGCCUCACGUGGGAAACCACCUUUGUGGGCCUGCUGUCUUCCCUGCCAGGCACGUCAGUAAAACCAGCUGGCUUGAGGAAGACUGUUUUCAGUUUUGCUCAGACGUCUGCAUUUCAAGGAUAUUAGAGGAAGGAUGGAAUGUUCCAAUCUCAGAGGACACUGCUGGAACAGGAAGAUGAGUUGGCUGCAAGGAUGAAACUUCACUCUAGAAAGAAUUUUUCAGAAGAAUCUCUAGUACAAUACAGGAAGCUUGAGCCCAGGGAAGAGUGUGCUGCAACCUCUGUGCAAAGCCUGGUGAAGACAGUGGAAUAAGCAUCGUGGGGGGGGGGGGUUGAGUUCAGUCUGCAGGCAGCCUUUUGGCUUUCCUGUUGCCUGCCAUCUCAGUCAUCAGGCCCUUACACACUUGUUGAACUUUUCUAUUGUGCAAUUCUGUACAUUCGGUGAUUUACUUGGUUGUUCUUUUAUGGACAAAACUCUGCCCUGGGGUUGGGGAAGGUUAGAAAGAAAAGUAUAAGAUAGGUGUAGUAGCAUACACCUUUAAUCUCAGUGCUCAGAGGAAGAAGCAGGUGGAUCUCUGGGAGUUUGAGACCAGCCUGGUCUACCUAGCAAGUUCCAGGACUGUCAGGGCUACAGGAAAGAGAAACCUUGUCUUAAAAAUAAAAUAAAAGUAUAAACUAA
This is a long non-coding RNA of Alexandromys fortis (reed vole), 1064 nucleotides long. RefSeq lists it as uncharacterized. The record is from RefSeq and is a predicted model, not a curated record. The transcript has 3 exons. Lineage: Eukaryota; Metazoa; Chordata; Mammalia; Rodentia; Cricetidae.